Molecule: long non-coding RNA, 909 nt
Organism: Alligator sinensis (Chinese alligator)
Lineage: Eukaryota; Metazoa; Chordata; Crocodylia; Alligatoridae
Exons: 4
Source: RefSeq, a predicted model, not a curated record
GGACCGGUACGUAUGCGAGGCCUUUCCCUGGGGACCCGCGCCACCAAAAUGUUCGGCCCGGCUCCAAAAAAAGGCCCCCGGCUGCAGAGCUGCUGCUUGAAAAGGUGCAUCUGCUUCCUACCUGGUUCCUGGCCCGGUUUGAUUUGAGCGUGUGGCAGGGCCUUCCCCAAAGCCACCCUUAGCCCCCGCUACAGGCUGUACGUGUGAUGCGGGUUACUGGUGAACGGUGCAAUGAAUGUGGACCCGCCACACCGCAAAGUAAGACGGGACUUAAGUGUGAAGUAAUUAUCAAACAAUUUUGGAAAUCCUAAUGGUGAUGGAUCAGUGAGCGAGACCUGAGAAAUGCUCUGGUUCUGGAAAAAUGAAAGUAAGCAAGAGUCCUAAGCUGAGGAGAUUUAUGUGCAAUUAACUUCAUUCACUGGAACAACUUUCCUUUGUUCUUCUGAUUAGACCAUUUCUCCAAAUCACUUCUGAGCCUGAACUGACCUCCAACAAAGAUUAAACCUAAGCAGCAGAGACCUGCACUGGAAGCUUCUAUUGGUAUAACUUUUGAUAGCUGCCAACAGUGCACAAUUGGCUGCGUUUACUAGUGAUAUCCAGGAGAGUGUCAUUGCGAAGCGGCAGUGAAGCCUGGACAAGUAUCCCAUUGUCUCUUCACUGCUACCAGGCUGCCCAAACAAGACUUGUUUGGGGAGCCUGUUAUCCAGGAAUCUCAGAAUGUGGCCAAGGCAAGUUUCCCUUCUCACUUGUACCAGUGAGUGUGCGAUUUGUCAGGGGUUUUUCUUCUGGUUAUGACAUAUCACCCCUCCCUUGAACCUGUAUGGAAAAUCCUCAGACAAUUGCAACCCAUACUAGACAGAGACCCUAUUCUUAAAAAGAUCUUCCCAGAGCCACCCAUCCUAGCCUUCA